Molecule: long non-coding RNA, 868 nt
Filed under: Salvia miltiorrhiza (redroot sage)
Lineage: Eukaryota; Viridiplantae; Streptophyta; Magnoliopsida; Lamiales; Lamiaceae
Description: long non-coding RNA (SMIL_LNC008224)
Source: RNAcentral
UCCGUGUAGAAAAUAUUUAUUUAUGUAUUAUGACAUGUAUGUGUAAUUUUUAUUAUCAAAUUUUUAAUAACUAUAACUAUAAUUACUGCUGAAAUAGAAAUUUUAUUGAAACUGAAAAACAACGUACAGAGACGAAAACCCUUGAGAGCAUAGGCGCAAACUAAGGGCCGGACCUAAAAAAUAAUUUAUAAUUUUUUUCUUAUUUUCUAUAACUAUAAUUACAUUUAUACAAAGUUCAAUGCAUACGUUUUCAAAUUCCAGAUUUUAUUGAGUAAUCGUUGUGGAUUAUUUUAUUUUAGUCUUAGAACAUAUUUUGUGUUAAAGCUAUAUUUUAAUUCUGUUUAAUAUUUAUAUUUAUUUAUUUCAAUAUGUCAUUUAAUUUCGAUCUUCAUCGUGCAUCGCACGAAUGGAGGUACUAGUUUAUUAUUAAAAACAUGCAUGAAUUAAUUUUGAGAAGUGGUAAGUGCUACCACACACAAAUUCCAAAUCCAAAGGGCUUCACUUUGAAACAGCUGCUGCCACAAUGGUUCCUGAUGCACUCCUUGCUACCAUCGCAGUCUUCACAAAAAUCUCCAACCGAUUUUGCCCAUUCCACUCCCAUUCCUACCAUUUAAUUCAUGCCAUAUAACAAUUUUCAAAUCAUAUACAUUAUUAAUCUUGAGAUAUCCUCUAUUUUAAAGCUACAGCUGUACAAAAUAAGUGUAUCCAUGAUAUUUGAUGAAAGAACAAGUAUAUGCAUAAUAUUAAUUUGUGUAUGAGUAAUGGAAUGAUGAUAAAAUAGAAGGUGGAAUAUUACCAGAUGGGAUGAGCAAAAGAAUGACCAAGAAAAGUAUUGUUGGCUUAAUAUUUUCCAUAAGUCGCUUAAUUU